CUAAGAAGUAGGCGACGGCGAUGCCUCCCAGGCGGCCGAGGGAGCGCGUGUCGAGGCUGGCGGCGCCCGACACCAGGCUGCAGACCACCAGCGGCAGGAUGACCAUGCGCAGCAUGCGCAGCAGCAGCUCCCCGGGGAAGGCCAGCCUCAUGGAUAGACCUAAAGAUCCUUACCUUGUGGCUGGAGCUCCUGGGAAUUGUCACCACAACUGUGUCCACCACCACCUGCCUCAGAGCUCAAUGCAGUCUUGACUUGCAGCUUGUUCACACAUGUGACUCAAGGUACCAGGUGUACUUUGGGCUCCAAGGACAUCCACAUCUGGAGCUAGCUCUGAGCUUCAUGGUGGCCUCUGUGUAAAAUCAAGCCUCUGGAGGGCAAGAGCUGUGUUAUCUGCAAAAAGUCACAUCUGACUGUUAACGUCACAGUGCUGCACAUCUCAGCCAUAAAUGAAGGUAUGAAAGCCAGGUUCUGCUUUGUGAUUUUGUUUCUGGGGAUGGAAAAAAGUGGAAUCCACCCUGCAUUUCCAUGGAUUUAGUACACAGAAUCUGUCUGUCCUACUGAAUAUGUUAGGUGUCAUUAUAUACUACCACAAAGCGCACACACAAUGCACUGUAUGUAACAGAUACUUUUGAAAGAGCAAAGUACAUGAAGUGAAGCAGUGAUUGCUACACCCCUAGGUUUCCCAGAGAAGAAACUUUUUACCUGAGCAAGGUCAACAAAAUGUCUAAAAGAAAUCGUAUUUGAGUUUCUUUGCUAAGGGAGGAAUCAGAUGAAAGAAGAAGAAGGGUUGUUUUCAGCUUCUUGAGUCUCACUCUUGAUUCAUGCCCUCUUGACACAGAUUAGGGCAGCCCUUGGACCAUAUUUCCUACAAAACCUCUUACCAAUUGUAUACAGCAAACACUAGUCAUGCCACCUCUGCUUCCUUCUUUCCUCCUGCUGGUAGGUAUCGCCCUUUUCAUACAACCAGCAAGUUCUUUUGCAGCUUUCAGGAGCUUCCUUGGGUGAGAGAAAUUUUCGUCUGCAGAGAUCUGGUUGCUGUUUAGCCUCUGUUCUUCUGAGACCUAACACAAAUGUGCCUCUGUAGGUUUAGAAAUAGAUCAUCUGCCCAUUUCCUGUGACUGCUUUAAUUUGAAGUAGUUCGAAGACUGACGCAUGAAAGUCACAGUGGGUGGAGAAAGGAGUGAGAUGAAAGGGAAGAGGGCAGGAAGGGUUUGGUUGUAUAUUUUUGUUUUUCAAUUGAAGUUUGAAUAAAGGUGCUCCAAAACAUCUCAGCUGAGAUGUUCUGGGCAGCUUGCAGUGUCCCAAGGGGCCAUAUUACAGAGUGGCCUUGUUUCCUGAAGAGAAGGCAUGAAAAGCAUGUGGGAGAGAGCUUGUUUCCCACAAGGCAAAAUGAAGUCCUCAGAGGAGCUGCAUCACACUGGCUGAGGCAGGAAGGCCUAGAGUACUGCCUCGGUAUGCAGACUUUAGCUUGGCAAGAAGACUUUGUUGGGCCUGGGAUGCCAAGCGAUUUGGACAGACUCCAGCCACAUCACAGAAAUGCUCCCUGCCAGCCUCUGGCAGGAAGAAGAAGUGUGCUGGAGGUACCACCAUCAUGCUCACCUCACCGCUGGCCUACUGCAGGGUCCAGCCACCUGCACGAAGCGACCUGUACCAUCUGACUAAACCUGAUUUUGAGACAUCUGAAAUCACAGAAACAAGUCCCAAGACUAUUCCUCAUAGAGAUUCCUGGCCAGCACCCGAAAUAAGCCAGUCCCAGACAUAAUCCUAUCAUACUGUCACAUCCGGAUUCACCGUCUUUCCAGGCCGUGUAUGUUCUCAUGCCUGACUGAAAAUAUUCUGAGUGUGAAAGAAAAUAGGCCUUUGUGAGCAUAUUUUAUAAUAGCAGAGGCAGGCAGGGAAUUUUGCAAAUACCACUUGUGUGCCCAAACUCCAACAAAACAUAAACUCUGCAGACAGGGAUGGUUGAUCUGGGGUAAAUAUUUAACUUUAUUCUCCAAAGGCACAUGCAGUUUUACCAACAAUUAAAUAAAAAAUAUAGAAUAAUACCCUCCCACACACAUGACCUUGUUUACUGUAAGGCUCCUUUGAGUGGCUUUGGAAACAAAGUUGUAUUGAACCAGGAAUAAAUUUAAAACUGUGUGUGUUGCCUACUUCUUCAAAAUCAGAAUGGUUUCGA
Cygnus atratus (black swan) is the source of this 2176-nucleotide long non-coding RNA. RefSeq lists it as uncharacterized. The transcript is spliced from 3 exons. NCBI's taxonomy places the organism in Eukaryota, Metazoa, Chordata, Aves, Anseriformes, Anatidae. The record is from RefSeq and is a predicted model, not a curated record.